UUUUCUAACCCUUCAGAGAGGAGCAAAAUUAUACCCUCUGCCUGCAAGCAGUCUCAUCAAGCUUCCUUCCACUUCCUUCUCUGACCUAGCACUCACUCCACAGCCUGCUCUUUAUACUUAAAUUAGAGAGUCUCACAGGUUUGUGGGUUUUUUUUGAGCCCUCUUGCCUGUUUUCAUCUCCCCCAGACCCCCUUAGUCAAGCAUCUCCAUGAAGAGAUGCCAGACUUUUCCUCUCUAGUAACUAAGCUGCUGCUGUUCAGGGAAGAAAUUCCUUUUGAAGUGAGGGUAUCAGACUUUGUCUAACAGCUGUGGAGACUCCUGAAGGACACUUUCUGGCAAAUCUGUAAAGCUUACGUUCCUCCUCCACUGCUUAUUGAACAUGGCUUCUAUCCUACAGCUUGUCCCAGAAAGUUACAGAAAGGAUAUAAUUCUGAAGGAUGUUGAGAACAAGCCUACUUUGAGGUCCAGCCCUGGGAGCUUUCAAGAGCUGUAUUUUCUGAAUGAUUCCUCCAAGUUCAGGGCAUGGAAAUAACCUAUUCUGGUGGUCAACAGAUGAAACUCCUUUCCAAGCAUCUGCAAAGAAUUCUAAUCCAAAUGAGUCUUGUGUUGCCCUUCAUCCUCUCUCCAGACUUUACUGCCUGUUUUUGCAUCUGAGUUUUUCCACAGCGUGAGUUUUGUUUGGCGUCCUGAUUAAGAUGUCAGGCCUUAAAGCUUAUAUUUAUCUGAUUGCAAACAUGCUAAGACACAAGAAUGAACAAAUACAUUUGACUGUCCAGAGUAUAAGGAACUGGUAUUAGUUUAUCAAGGUUAUUUCCUGACAUCAUCACUGGCUUCUGGAAGACGUGUCCCACUCUCAAACAGAACAGAAUAUGGAUGAUUUCGAAUGCUGGCAGGACCACUUUGUCUUCUUCUCCUCCAUCACCUUGUUGAAUUGUCCAAGGAAUGUACAGGAAAAUUGUGACAAUGAAGUAAAUUUUUUCUUGAGUAAAAUGGGGCAUAAAUUGUCCUUCAGAAGGGCUUUGAAAAGAAAGAGCAACAUCACCCAGGCCAGCAAAAGGAUUCCUGAGGAUAAAUCUGGCACUGGGCAGGCAUAUGCAUUUCAUCAUAAAGUCUGUGAAUACAGUAGAUGGCAUAGAAGGUCUCUUCCCAAUAUAAUGUAUAUCUCACAUGACACAGUAUGCUGUUCUGUUUCUCCCUGAAUUAUAAAAGCAAGUAAUUCAAACCACCUGAGAGCAAAAGCAAGGUGCAAGGAAUCUCUGUCUUCAAACAGGAUGAGAGAGUGCUAAUGAAAACCAAGAGUCCGGUGUAAGCGUGUUGCAAAGAAAAACUGCCUCUGAAAAGGGUUUUAUGUUCCCCUGAAGCCAGGAGUAGCUGCAUUUGUACCAACUCCACAGCCUUUCUGUUAUUGAUGUGUCUGAGUCGUCUUUGAAAGCCUGGCUUUUUCUUCUGAUAGAUAAAUAUAAACCCAGAUUAUAUUCACCCAUCUGCAAGAGAAAUCAUUAUGAAAUUAACCAGUGAUCAACCAAACCACAUGGGAAGCUCAGAAAGGUUUUUUGGGCUCUUUCAAAUGGCUGGCUCUUCUGUCUACAUCUGGAUGUGUUUAGCUCUGAAAUAUAAUUUUUGGUGCUGAUCACUUCUGGGUAGAACAUACAAUUAAGGUAUUUGAAAAAUAAACAUUUCUAAACCACUGAUCGUUGGGGAGAUGGCUUAGAAACGACAGCCCAUUUUCCAAGAAGGCGGUUGGGAAAGGGAACCUGAAAGCUUAAGAUAACAUUAAAAAGGAAACAGAAGAAGUCCAGGGAGGGAAAAGAAAACAAAAGAAGAAAAAGAAACCCAACAAACAAACCCACCCUCAAAGUAUUUUAACUGCUUCUCUAGACCUUUCAGACUAAUGUUAUUUGAAUUCUUUAAGGAAUCCAGCCUCGUUUCUGUGUAUUUCUAUGAAUUCAUGCUGCUACAUGAGGAAUGUGUUACUGAGAAGUGGAACCUGCAACAGUUUGAAAACAGGAGACAUUUGCAGUGAUUGGAGGAAUUUAAUCCUCCAAUCUUUUGGACCUUCAAUAUCAAAUUUCAAGAAGGAAGGGUAGCAGGGCUGAAGCCCCAGAAACAAAUUUGGACGUGCCUCUUCCUUCUGGUACCCUACUGCUAACUUCUCUUUCCCACCUAAACUCAGCUCACUUUGGCUCACCUCCUACGAUCCUCAGGCAGCUGCAUUUUACUUCUUAAACAAUUCCAAAACUGUUCGUUGCAGAAGAUAUUUGCCUGGUGCGUUCUCACCUGAAAGAUGAUUUUAAACCAGAAAGUUUGGUAGAGUUCCAUUUUGUCUAUUUUAUCAGUUAACCAAGAAGAUAAGAGUCAGUAAAAAAUAAAUACCAUAUGAUUUGGUGGCUGGUGCAGGAACACAAGUGUUCAGGAGUGAGCCAGAAAUGAACAGCUUUGAACUCUUGCAGAGUUCAGAUAUAGAUGUGAAUGCUGCUGAGGCACUACUGUGUAAUCCAGUUAAAUCAAACCAAAUCAGGAUCUACAUCCUUGAUUGAGCCUUCCCCAAGCCUCAGGUGAAGAGGUAAAGCCCAUCUAGCAAUAGUACUGCUACUGUAAUCAGCAGUGUUUUGAAAAUAAUUGGAUAAUAAAAGCAGAGGAUAUAACUGGAGUUCCUUGAAGUCAGUGGCUGCCUUUGACUGAGGAGAGAAAAGGUUUUGGAUCCUACAAAGGAAAGUGAUGGAAAGGCCAGCGUAGAAGCCUCCAGAAUCUGAGAUAAGCUUUGGCUAAGCCUGUUAAUACUUGGAUGCUUAAGCAAAGAUAACCUCCAAGCUUUUGGCAGCCCUGCCCACAAAUAGCUGAAACACAGAAGGACCAGGUAAUUACCUAAUGUGGUAAGAGCAAUUAUGGCAACUGUGUAAAAGGUAAAGCAAAUUUUACCUGACACCAAGGCUUGCUCUCACAUCUGGGAUUUUCAUACCCAAUGCAAGUUCUUUCUUUUCCUUUUGGAUUUUAAUGUUUACUGAAAUGCAUCUACUGGUGGGGUGAGGCUUAGCAUGGCUUUGCCUCAUUCCCAGUCAAUGUUCCAAAAAGCUGGACUGACAUGGGCUUUUGGAAAAUGUGGAGUCAAGUCCCGGCUCCUUCUCUAAGUCUGUAACUAGGAUGGGGAGGCUGUAAUAAUUCUUAAUUUCCAAUUUUUUGAGCUGUUGCUACUUAGAAUUCAAUUAGAGUAAAAUCCACAGGGCUAGGCCUUCCCAGAGUUUGGGAAGACUGCAUCCCAGCAUUUCAGCUCUUUUAAGCAGUGUGCAGGAGUUGCUGAAUCCCUGGAAAGCACCUAAGGAGCUUCCAUAAACAACUUUUAAAAUUAUAAUGAUAGUUAAUGACCUAAUUUCCUAGCCAGCCAAAAUACCUGAGGAAUCAAAGUCCCAUAUCUGAAUUAAUCUAAACUCCUGGGAGGUUUUGUUCUGGACUUCAUAUUCACAAUUACUGCUUUCUGUCUGGCAUUUUUUGGGCCAAUUCAAGACCUCAGUUUAGAUACCCACACAGUUACAGAUCGUUAUUUAUUUUCUGUAAAAUGCCAGAGAUUGCAGCAUUGUGUAACAGGAAGGGAUCUCAAGAGAAACACUAUUUUACUGCCCUCCAAUGAGGCAGAUGUAUAUGCAGAACAUACUGUAUAAGCAGCAUAUCCUCCUAAAUUUCUAGUUCCCAUUACAGUUAUGUGGUUCUUCAUUUCCAGCCCAAAUUUUCUUUGAUGUAAAUUGCAGGGGUUUGCCCCUCAUCUUUUUAUUUGCUAUAGUAUAAGAGUCACCAUCAACCUCUUUAUAAUGACUUGCCACAUAUUGGAAGAGAAUUUAUCAUGUCUCUCACCACCUUACUUUUUUUUCUUUAUUCUUUAAAUUGGCAUGUAGUGUGCAGUUAUUUCCCAAAUUUUCCCUGUAACUUCUGUCUGUUCUAGAAAGGCAUACAAGCUGCAUUGCUGUCAGUUCAGAGUGAGACCUGUCUGUGUGGGACUCACCAGGCAAACUUAUGCAAACUAAAAAUCAGCAUAUUCUGCCUGCUCUUGCAAGACAGUUUUUGUGGCGAGUUCCUCAUAAUUAUCAGUUAAUUGUCAUGAAUCCCAUGUUGCCAAGAAUUUGAAGAUGUGAAAAUUGGAUGCUGGUACAAUUUCCAGCCCACAGGAUACUUAGCUAUUCCAGCAAAGACUUCAGUACCUCCCUACAGCCAUAUGCACACAUGCCUGUGCUCUGGGAUAAAUGACACUAACAGAGUUUCUGACUUGUGAUAUCAUCCCUCUUUCCUAUAACACUGGAUAGAGUUGGUUGGUUUGAUUUAACCUUCCUUUUCUUGGAAAUCCUCCUUUGCAAAAACACCUGUGUAGUUAAAAAUCCCUAAAAGUGCAUGAAAUGUUUUCCAAUAGCCUAAGACAUGGAUAGGAAGUCCUAAUUCUAACGUAAUGAGAGGAAACAUGUUUUCCACUUCCUUAAAUUCAGUUUUCUGUAACCAUCAGAAAAAUUACUACACAGCUGCACAUGAUAGGUACCCUUUAUGCAGAUGGCUUCUGUUUUUGCUGGCCAGACUUUCCAGUCUAACACUUAGAUACUUUUGGUGAAAAGACAAGGUCUUGUGACCAGCUCUGGACAGUAACCAUUGGACUACUUACACACUAUAUAUCAGACAACAGGUCACCCAUCUCCAAAAUUGUGCUGGUGAGAUGUGGCAGAUAUGGUGUGAAAGUCACCAUGCUUCCCUCAUGCUGUGCAGAAACUUGAACAAUAGCCCAUUGUGCAUCCUCUCUAGGAGCA
Molecule: long non-coding RNA, 4781 nt
Organism: Pezoporus occidentalis (night parrot)
Lineage: Eukaryota; Metazoa; Chordata; Aves; Psittaciformes; Psittacidae
Exons: 3
Source: RefSeq, a predicted model, not a curated record